AUUGAACGCUGGCGGCAGGCCUAACACAUGCAAGUCGAACGAGUGGCGGACGGGUGAGUAAUGUCUGGGAAACUGCCCGAUGGAGGGGGAUAACUACUGGAAACGGUAGCCAAUACCGCAUACCAUCGGAUGUGCCCAGAAGGGAUUAGCUAGUAGGUGGGGUAACGGCUCACGUAGGCGACGAUCCCUAGCUGGUACGAGAGGAUGACCAGCCACACUGGAACUGCGACACGGGCCAGACUCCUACUGUAGGCAGCAGUGGGGAAUAGUGCACAAUGGGCGCAAGCCUGAUGCAGCCAUGCCGCGUGUAUGAAGAAGGCCUUCGGGUUGUAAAGUACUUUCAGCUAGGAGGCGUUACUCGCAGAAGAAGCACCGGCUAACUCCGUGCCAGCAGCCGCGGUAAUAC
Molecule: ribosomal RNA, 406 nt
Filed under: uncultured bacterium
Lineage: Bacteria
Description: partial 16S ribosomal RNA
Rfam family: Bacterial small subunit ribosomal RNA
Source: RNAcentral